Molecule: long non-coding RNA, 546 nt
Filed under: Brassica napus (rape)
Lineage: Eukaryota; Viridiplantae; Streptophyta; Magnoliopsida; Brassicales; Brassicaceae
Description: long non-coding RNA (BNAP_LNC009519)
Source: RNAcentral
CAAGAUCUGGCACAGGACUGCACAAGACGAGCGUCUUUGGGAGCUGAUCUGCACGCGUCACUGGGCCAACAUCGGCUGCAGCCAACACCAGCUCAGAUUCGUAGUCUUGGCGCUUGGCGGCUUCAAACAACUCCACUCGCUCUACCUGUGGCCUCUCUCGAGUCCGAAUCAACAUGGUAGAUUGGGUAAAGACGAGCUGAAACUCUCCCUUUCUCUCCUCUCGAUUCGGUACUACGAGAAGAUGAAUUUCACUAAGAGACUCCCCUGAGUCCAAAUGAUUUCCAACACCAGCAUGGGAGCUGAUCUGCACGCGUCACUGGGCCAACAUCGGCUGCAGCCAACACCAGCUCAGAUUCGUAGUCUUGGCGCUUGGCGGCUUCAAACAACUCCACUCGCUCUACCUGUGGCCUCUCUCGAGUCCGAAUCAACAUGGUAGAUUGGGUAAAGACGAGCUGAAACUCUCCCUUUCUCUCCUCUCGAUUCGGUACUACGAGAAGAUGAAUUUCACUAAGAGACUCCCCUGAGUCCAAAUGAUUUUACUUCGGA